This 492-nucleotide ribosomal RNA is filed under the name uncultured bacterium. RNAcentral's name for it is "partial 16S ribosomal RNA". It matches the Rfam family "Bacterial small subunit ribosomal RNA", at positions 29 to 507 of the family's 1533-position model. The record is from RNAcentral.
AGUGAACGCUGGCGGUAGGCCUAACACAUGCAAGUCGAACGGCAGCACAUUAAGAGCUUGCUCUUACGGGUGGCGAGUGGCGGACGGGUGAGGCAUACAUCGGCAUCUACUUUUUCGUGGGGGAUAACUUAGGGAAACUUACGCUAAUACCUCAUACCACCUACGGGUGAAUGCAGGUGUUCUUCAUACCUUGCCCUCUUUCAUGAGCCGAUGUCGGAUUAGCUAGUUGGCGGGGUAAAGGCCCACCAAGGCGACGAUCCGUAGCUGGUCUGAGAGGAUGAUCAGCAACACGGGAACUGAGAAACGGUCAAGACUCCUACGGGAGGCAGAAGUGGGGAAUAUUGGACAAAGGGCGCAAGCCUGAUCAAGACAUACCGCGUGGGUGAAGAAGGCUUUCGGGUUGUAAAGCCCUUUGGUAGGGAAAGAAAAGCAGCAGGUUAAUAACCCGAUGUUCUGACGGUACCCAAAGAAUAAGCAACGGCUAACUUCGUG